Molecule: ribosomal RNA, 449 nt
Filed under: uncultured bacterium
Lineage: Bacteria
Description: partial 16S ribosomal RNA
Rfam family: Bacterial small subunit ribosomal RNA
Source: RNAcentral
GAUGAACGCUGGCGGCAGGCUUAACACAUGCAAGUCGAACGCAUCCUUCGGGGUGAGUGGCAGGCGGGUGAGUAACGCGUGGGAACGUGCCCUUCAGUUCGGGAUAACCCAGGGAAACUUGGGCUAAUACCGGAUACGUGCGAGAGCAGAAAGAUUUAUCGCUGAAGGAUCGGCCCGCGUCUGAUUAGCUAGGUGGGGGGGUAAUGGCUCACCAAGGCGAGGAUCAGUAGCUGGUCUGAGGGAAUGAUCAGCCACAUGGGCACUGGGACACGGGCCAAACUCCUACGGGAGGGAGCAGUGGGGAAUAUUGGACAAUGGGCGCAAGCCUGAUCCAGCCAUGCCGCGUGAGUGAUGAAGGCCUUAGGGUUGUAAAGCUCUGUCGUCCGGGACGAUAAUGACGGUACCGGAAGAAGAAGCCCCGGCUAACUUCGUGCCAGCCGCCGCGGUAA